RNAcentral lists this non-coding RNA (274 nucleotides) under Clostridium autoethanogenum. Its description in RNAcentral is "T-box sequence". It matches the Rfam family "T-box leader". Rfam says of the family: Uncharged tRNA acts as the effector for transcription antitermination of genes in the T-box leader family. T-boxes are found upstream of many aminoacyl-tRNA synthetase genes and some amino acid biosynthetic genes usually in Gram-positive bacteria. The record is from RNAcentral. Lineage: Bacteria; Bacillati; Bacillota; Clostridia; Eubacteriales; Clostridiaceae.
GCAUAAACUGUGAUGGAGAAAGAAAUAUUUAAUCUAUUAACUUAAGAGAGCCAACGUUUGGUGCAAGUUGGUGUUAAUGAAAAUAUGCAAAUCACUCCGGAGUUUCCAAGUAGAAAGGCUUUUGCCAAGUAAACGAGGACGUAUACCAGCGAUAUAUGGUUAGGGUUUAUUUUAAAUAAAGUUUUUUAUUUAAAGUUGACCUGAAUUGAGAGGCAAUUGGUGUAUCUAAUUGCAAGUAAGGUGGUACCACGGAAAUAUAUCUUUCGUCCUUAUA